GACGAACGCUGGCGGCGUGCCUAAUACAUGCAAGUUGAGCGCUGAAGGUUGGUACUUGUACCCACUGGAUGAGCAGCGAACGGGUGAGUAACGCGUGGGGAAUCUGCCUUUGAGCGGGGGACAACAUUUGGAAACGAAUGCUAAUACCGCAUAAAAACUUUAAACACAAGUUUUAAGUUUGAAAGAUGCAAUUGCAUCACUCAAAGAUGAUCCCGCGUUGUAUUAGCUAGUUGGUGAGGUAAAGGCUCACCAAGGCGAUGAUACAUAGCCGACCUGAGAGGGUGAUCGGCCACAUUGGGACUGGGACACGGCCCAAACUCCUACGGGAGGCAGCAGGAGGGAAUCUUCGGGAAUGGACGAAAGUCGGACCGAGCAACGCCGCGUGAGUGAAGGAGGUUGUCGGAUCGUAAAACUCUGUUGGUAGAGAAGAACGUUGGUGAGAGUGGAAAGCGCAUCAAGUGACGGUAACUACCCAGAAAGGGACGGCUAACUACGUG
Molecule: ribosomal RNA, 497 nt
Filed under: uncultured bacterium
Lineage: Bacteria
Description: partial 16S ribosomal RNA
Rfam family: Bacterial small subunit ribosomal RNA
Source: RNAcentral